GAAAAGAGACAGCAGGGGUCAGUGGGUUGUUUGUGGUAGCUCAGCACAGACCCUCAGAUGCACUCUGAAGAAGCUCCUAACUGGAUGAAUGGAGACAAACCAUCAACGAAGAAAGAAACUGGAUAGUGUUUCACAAGCAGGUUUGGACAUUGCCCAGACAGACAGCUUGAUAUUGGCGGCGUGUAGGAAAAAGGGGGAAGAUACAGAGAGAAAAGGCAUGAGGGUUAUGAGGAGGACGAGGAGAGAGCAUGGAGGUCAAAGUAUGCUCACCAGGUGCUGGAUGUGUCGAGAAGGAGCCGUCCCUCUACGCUGCUGGAUGUGAGGAAGGAGUGGUGAUA
Oreochromis niloticus (Nile tilapia) is the source of this 338-nucleotide long non-coding RNA. RefSeq lists it as uncharacterized. The record is from RefSeq and is a predicted model, not a curated record. The transcript is spliced from 2 exons. Lineage: Eukaryota; Metazoa; Chordata; Actinopteri; Cichliformes; Cichlidae.